This 253-nucleotide ribosomal RNA is filed under the name uncultured bacterium. Its description in RNAcentral is "partial 16S ribosomal RNA". It matches the Rfam family "Bacterial small subunit ribosomal RNA", at positions 524 to 776 of the family's 1533-position model. The record is from RNAcentral.
UACGGAGGGUGCGAGCGUUGUCCGGAAUCACUGGGCGUAAAGGGCGCGUAGGUGGCUCGUGAAGCGUGCGGUGAAAGUCCGAGGCUCAACCUCGGAUCGGCCGUGCGGACUCGCGGGCUCGAGCGUUGUAGAGGCGGGUGGAAUUCCGGGUGUAGCGGUGGAAUGCGUAGAGAUCGGAAAGAACACCAACGGCGAAAGCACUCUGCUGGGCCGACACUGACACUGAGAGACGAAAGCUAGGGGAGCAAAUGGG